Molecule: ribosomal RNA, 1283 nt
Filed under: Colaspis sp. DPP-2018
Lineage: Eukaryota; Metazoa; Arthropoda; Insecta; Coleoptera; Chrysomelidae
Description: 16S ribosomal RNA
Rfam family: Archaeal large subunit ribosomal RNA (bases 1043-1201)
Source: RNAcentral
UUAAUUUUUUUAAUUAUUUUAUUUUAAUAAUUUAAAUUGGUUAAAGAAGUAUUUUUUAUUUUAUUAUAAUAUUGAAAAAAUUAUUUUUAAUUAUAGUUAAUUUGUAUUGUGAAAGAUUUUAUUUAAUUUUAUAAAAGAAAAAUUAUUUAUUUGUACCUUGUGUAUCAGGGUUAAUUAAAUUAAAAAAAUUUUGAAAUUUUUAUCUCGAAUUUAAUAGAGCUAAAAUAAAAUUUUUUUAUUGUAUUAUAAAUAUUAUAAAUUUUAUUUUAGAAAUGAAAUGUUAUUCGUUAUUAAAUAUAUCUAGUUUUUUAAGAAAUAAAUUAAAUUUAUUAAUUUUAAAUAAUUAUAUAAUUUUUAUUUUUUUAUUAAAAAUUAAUAAUAAUUUUAGGGAUUAGCUUAAAAUUAAAUUUUUAUUAGAUAUAUGAAUAUAAAUUAUUUUGUAGGAUUAAAAUUUUCUAUGAUUGUUAAAUUUUAUAAUUAAGUUAAUUUUAUAUUUUAUUUAUAUUUUUCUAUAAAUUUUAUAUUAAAAUAAUAUUAAAAAUUUUAUUUAAUAAUAAAUAAUGAUUAAAUUAGUAUAAUAUUUUGUAAUUUUUAAAUUUAAUUAUUUAGAUAAAAUUAAGGAAUUCGGCAAAUUUAUUUUUUACCUGUUUAUUAAAAACAUGGCUUUUUGUUUAAAAUUUAAAGUCUGACCUGCCCCCUGAAAUUUUAAAUGGCCGCAGUAUUUUGACUGUGCUAAGGUAGCAUAAUCAUUAGUUUUUUAAUUGAAAGCUUGUAUGAAAGGUUGGAUAAGAAAAUAACUGUCUCAAUUUUAAAAUUAGAAUUUUAUUUUUAAGUUAAAAAGCUUAAAUAAAAUUAAAAGACGAGAAGACCCUAUAGAGUUUUAUUAAUAUUAUAAUUAUAUAAAUUAGUAUUUUUAAAUUAUAAUUAUAAAAUUAAAUUAGUUGGGGUGAUUAUUAAAUAAAAUAAACUUUUUUAAAAAAUUGACAUAGAUAAAUGAUUAGUUGAUCCUAAAUUUUAGAUUAAAAGAUUAAAUUACCUUAGGGAUAACAGCGUAAUUUUUUUUAAGAGUUCUAAUUGAAAAAAAAGAUUGCGACCUCGAUGUUGGAUUAAAAUAUGUAGUUGGUGUAGAGGCUAAUUAACUAGGUCUGUUCGACCUUUAAAAUUUUACAUGAUCUGAGUUUAAACCGGCGUAAGCCAGGUUGGUUUCUAUCUUUAAUAAAUUAAAAUAUUUUAGUACGAAAGGACCAAAUAUUUAAUUUUAAAUUUUUUUUUUGAAUAUUAUU